UACGUAGGCAGCGAGCGUUGUUCGGAAUUACUGGGCGUAAAGAGUGUGUAGGCGGUGUUCCAAGUCUGGUGUGAAAUCUCCCGGCUCAACUGGGAGGGUGCGCCGGAAACUGGGAUGCUAGAGUGUGGGAGAGGUAAGCGGAAUUCCUGGUGUAGCGGUGAAAUGCGUAGAUAUCAGGAGGAACACCUGUGGUGUAGACAGCUUACUGGACCACGACUGACGCUGAGACACGAAAGCGUGGGUAGCAAACAGG
This 253-nucleotide ribosomal RNA is filed under the name uncultured bacterium. RNAcentral describes it as "partial 16S ribosomal RNA". It matches the Rfam family "Bacterial small subunit ribosomal RNA", at positions 524 to 776 of the family's 1533-position model. The record is from RNAcentral.